This 627-nucleotide ribosomal RNA is filed under the name uncultured fungus. RNAcentral describes it as "LSU rRNA". It matches the Rfam family "Eukaryotic large subunit ribosomal RNA", at positions 23 to 664 of the family's 3401-position model. The record is from RNAcentral. Lineage: Eukaryota; Fungi.
ACCCGCUGAACUUAAGCAUAUCAAUAAGCGGAGGAAAAGAAACCAACAGGGAUUGCCUCAGUAACGGCGAGUGAAGCGGCAAGAGCUCAAAUUUGAAAUCUGGCUCCGUUCGGGGUCCGAGUUGUAAUUUGGAGAGGAUGCUUCGGGACUGGCCCCCGUCUAAGUGCCCUGGAACGGGCCGUCAUAGAGGGUGAGAAUCCCGUCUGGGAUGGGUGGCCUGGCCCGUGUGAAGCUCCUUCGACGAGUCGAGUUGUUUGGGAAUGCAGCUCUAAAUGGGUGGUAAAUUUCAUCUAAAGCUAAAUAUUGGCCGGAGACCGAUAGCGCACAAGUAGAGUGAUCGAAAGAUGAAAAGCACUUUGAAAAGAGAGUUAAACAGCACGUGAAAUUGUUGAAAGGGAAGCGCUUGCAACCAGACUCGCCCGGGGGGGCUCAACCGGCACUCGUGCCGGUGCACUCCCCCCCGGGCGGGCCAGCGUCGGUUUGGGCGGUCGGUCAAAGGUCCCCGGAAUGUAUCACCUCUCGGGGUGUCUUAUAGCCGGGGAUGCCAUGCGACCAGCCCGGACCGAGGAACGCGCUUCGGCUCGGACGCUGGCGUAAUGGUUGUAAGCGGCCCGUCUUGAAACACGG